RNAcentral lists this ribosomal RNA (1363 nucleotides) under Salmonella enterica. RNAcentral's name for it is "partial 23S ribosomal RNA". It matches the Rfam family "Bacterial large subunit ribosomal RNA", at positions 161 to 1566 of the family's 2925-position model. RNAcentral also lists the same sequence under 2 other names. Lineage: Bacteria; Pseudomonadati; Pseudomonadota; Gammaproteobacteria; Enterobacterales; Enterobacteriaceae. The record is from RNAcentral.
AAUCCAUAGGUUAAUGAGGCGAACCGGGGGAACUGAAACAUCUAAGUACCCCGAGGAAAAGAAAUCAACCGAGAUUCCCCCAGUAGCGGCGAGCGAACGGGGAGGAGCCCAGAGCCUGAAUCAGCAUGUGUGUUAGUGGAAGCGUCUGGAAAGGCGCGCGAUACAGGGUGACAGCCCCGUACACAAAAGCGCAUGUGCUGUGAGCUCGAUGAGUAGGGCGGGACACGUGGUAUCCUGUCUGAAUAUGGGGGGACCAUCCUCCAAGGCUAAAUACUCCUGACUGACCGAUAGUGAACCAGUACCGUGAGGGAAAGGCGAAAAGAACCCCGGCGAGGGGAGUGAAAAAGAACCUGAAACCGUGUACGUACAAGCAGUGGGAGCACCCUUUGGGUGUGACUGCGUACCUUUUGUAUAAUGGGUCAGCGACUUAUAUUCUGUAGCAAGGUUAACCGAAUAGGGGAGCCGGAGGGAAACCGAGUCUUAACCGGGCGUUAAGUUGCAGGGUAUAGACCCGAAACCCGGUGAUCUAGCCAUGGGCAGGUUGAAGGUUGGGUAACACUAACUGGAGGACCGAACCGACUAAUGUUGAAAAAUUAGCGGAUGACCUGUGGCUGGGGGUGAAAGGCCAAUCAAACCGGGAGAUAGCUGGUUCUCCCCGAAAGCUAUUUAGGUAGCGCCUCGUGAAUUCAUCUCCGGGGGUAGAGCACUGUUUCGGCUAGGGGGCCAUCCCGGCUUACCAACCCGAUGCAAACUGCGAAUACCGGAGAAUGUUAUCACGGGAGACACACGGCGGGUGCUAACGUCCGUCGUGAAGAGGGAAACAACCCAGACCGCCAGCUAAGGUCCCAAAGUCAUGGUUAAGUGGGAAACGAUGUGGGAAGGCCCAGACAGCCAGGAUGUUGGCUUAGAAGCAGCCAUCAUUUAAAGAAAGCGUAAUAGCUCACUGGUCGAGUCGGCCUGCGCGGAAGAUGUAACGGGGCUAAACCAUGCACCGAAGCUGCGGCAGCGACACUGUGUGUUGUUGGGUAGGGGAGCGUUCUGUAAGCCUGUGAAGGUGUGUCGUGAGGCAUGCUGGAGGUAUCAGAAGUGCGAAUGCUGACAUAAGUAACGAUAAAGCGGGUGAAAAGCCCGCUCGCCGGAAGACCAAGGGUUCCUGUCCAACGUUAAUCGGGGCAGGGUGAGUCGACCCCUAAGGCGAGGCCGAAAGGCGUAGUCGAUGGGAAACGGGUUAAUAUUCCCGUACUUGGUGUUACUGCGAAGGGGGGACGGAGAAGGCUAUGUUGGCCGGGCGACGGUUGUCCCGGUUUAAGCGUGUAGGUGUGUGUUCCAGGUAAAUCCGGUUCACUUUAACACUGAGGCGUGA